Molecule: long non-coding RNA, 321 nt
Organism: Xiphias gladius (swordfish)
Lineage: Eukaryota; Metazoa; Chordata; Actinopteri; Istiophoriformes; Xiphiidae
Exons: 3
Source: RefSeq, a predicted model, not a curated record
GGUGCCCCAGGUGCCCCAUGUGCCCAGCCAUGAGCCCAGCCACCGGCCCCAGGUGCCCAGCCAUGAGCCCAGCUAUGUGCCCCGGGUGCCCAGCUACAAGCCCAGCAGUAAUGCUGGUUUUCAUCAUCCUCACCAGCCUAAAGGUCUGAACUGAGUGGAGCCCAUCUUAAUUUUGGUGGUAAAGGAGGCGCUUUUGGCUACAGUUCAACCUAGGGCAUAUGGGAUGUCUUAAAAUCUGAAGAUCUGACACAAAGAUGUGCAUCACCUCUACAACUGACUGGGGAAUAGCUCUUUUUGAAAAAUAAAAUGUGAUUUGUCUAA